CUGGUUCGCUGUCAAUGCCGUUUCCGUGUCGGACUGUAGGUUAAUUUCCACGUGCAGUGCUGUCUAGAAUGUAACAAAUUAAUUGAUGCGGGAUUGAGGGCUGCGCCACCCGAACGAGGUAACCAACAGAACCUGCGGGCCCCUUAUGGUUAACGUAGGCCGGAGCACUGUGCCCCAGGUUCAGGCAGGACGGGGCGACGGGAAGAUACUACGGAGGUGUACUUCGUAUAAAACCAGGAGUCACGCUCCGAUUUCGUUUUGGAAGACACGGACAGUAACCCGUUCGCUAGGGAGUACACCUAGGAACUGGAAUUACUCGGGGAAUUGGGAACUGGUCAGAGUAAUAAAGGUAACAGCUUGCACGUUUAAUAAAGGGUUGAAAGAUU
Photinus pyralis (common eastern firefly) is the source of this 386-nucleotide long non-coding RNA. RefSeq lists it as uncharacterized. NCBI's taxonomy places the organism in Eukaryota, Metazoa, Arthropoda, Insecta, Coleoptera, Lampyridae. The transcript is spliced from 3 exons. The record is from RefSeq and is a predicted model, not a curated record.